RNAcentral lists this ribosomal RNA (773 nucleotides) under uncultured bacterium. RNAcentral's name for it is "bacterial SSU rRNA". It matches the Rfam family "Bacterial small subunit ribosomal RNA", at positions 34 to 814 of the family's 1533-position model. The record is from RNAcentral.
CGCUGGCGGCGUGCUUACACAUGCAAGUCGAACGAGGAUAUAAUCUGCUUGCAGAAUAUAUCCGAGUGGCGAACGGGUGAGUAACGCGUGAACAAUCUGCCCCAAGCAGGGGGAUAACAAGUAGAAAUACUUGCUAAUACCGCAUAAGGUCACAAUGCCGCAUGGCAAAGGGACAAAAGGAGAAAUCCGGCAGGGGAUGAGUUUGCGUAUCAUUAGCUAGUUGGUGGGAUAAAGGCCUACCAAGGCAAAGAUGGUUAGCCGGCCUGAGAGGGUGAACGGCCACACUGGGACUGAGACACGGCCCAGACUCCUACGGGAGGCAGCAGUGGGGAAUAUUGGCCAAUGGGCGAAAGCCUGAGCCAGCGACGCCGCGUGAAGGAAGAAGGUCUUCGGAUUGUAAACUUCUGUUAUAGGGGAAGAAGAAAGUGACGGUACCCUAUGAGAAAGCAAUAGCUAACUACGUGCCAGCAGCCGCGGUAAUACGUAGAUUGCAAGCGUUAUCCGGAAUUAUUGGGCGUAAAGAGAGUGUAGGUGGCUGUACAAGUUGUAUGUGAAAGCCCAUGGCUCAACCAUGGAAGGUCAUACAAAACUGUACAGCUUGAGUAUAGGAGAGGUAAGCGGAAUUUCUAGUGUAGCGGUAGAAUGCGUAGAAUAUUAGAAGGAACACCAGAGGCGAAGGCGGCUUACUGGAAUAUUACUGACACUCAGACUCGAAAGCGUGGGUAGCAAACAGAGAUUAGAUACCCUGGUAGUCCACGCUGUAAACGAUGGNA